CCGCGGUAAUACGUAGGGUGCAAGCGUUAUCGGAAUACUGGGCGUAAAGCGUGCGCAGGCGGUCUUGUAAGACAGUGGUGAAAUCCCCGGGCUCAACCUGGGAACUGCCAUUGUGACUGCAAGGCUAGAGUGCGGCAGAGGGGGAUGGAAUUCCGCGUGUAGCAGUGAAAUGCGUAGAUGUGCGGAGGAACACCGACUGCGAAAGCGAUCCCCUUGGCCUGCACUGACGCUCAUGCACGAAAGCGUGGGGAGCAAACAGGAUUAGAUACCCU
Molecule: ribosomal RNA, 272 nt
Filed under: uncultured Burkholderiales bacterium
Lineage: Bacteria; Pseudomonadati; Pseudomonadota; Betaproteobacteria; Burkholderiales
Description: partial 16S ribosomal RNA
Rfam family: Bacterial small subunit ribosomal RNA
Source: RNAcentral